Molecule: transfer RNA, 72 nt
Rfam family: tRNA
About the family: Transfer RNA (tRNA) molecules are approximately 80 nucleotides in length. Their secondary structure includes four short double-helical elements and three loops (D, anti-codon, and T loops). Further hydrogen bonds mediate the characteristic L-shaped molecular structure. tRNAs have two regions of fundamental functional importance: the anti-codon, which is responsible for specific mRNA codon recognition, and the 3' end, to which the tRNAs corresponding amino acid is attached (by aminoacyl-tRNA synthetases). tRNAs cope with the degeneracy of the genetic code in two manners: having more than one tRNA (with a specific anti-codon) for a particular amino acid; and 'wobble' base-pairing, i.e. permitting non-standard base-pairing at the 3rd anti-codon position.
Source: Rfam
UGCUCAUUCGUCUAACCGGCAAGACACCGGGUUCUGGCCCCGGCAAUCCAGGUUCAAAUCCUGGGUGAGCAG